GACGAACGCUGGCGGCGUGCUUAACACAUGCAAGUCGAGCGGUAAGGCCCUUUCGGGGGUACACGAGCGGCGAACGGGUGAGUAACACGUGGGUGACCUGCCCUCAGUUCUGGGAUAAGCCUGGGGAACCGGGUCUAAUACUGGAUAUGACCUCAUGACGCAUGUUGUGGGGUGGAAAGCCUUGUGCGACUGAGGAUGGGCCCGCGGCCUAUCAGCUUGUUGGUGGGGUGAUGGCCUACCAAGGCGACGACGGGUAGCCGGCCUGAGAGGGCGACCGGCCACACUGGGACUGAGACACGGCCCAGACUCCUACGGGAGGCAGCAGUGGGGAAUCUUGCGCAAUGGGCGAAAGCCUGACGCAGCGACGCCGCGUGAGGGACGACGGCCU
Molecule: ribosomal RNA, 388 nt
Filed under: uncultured bacterium
Lineage: Bacteria
Description: bacterial SSU rRNA
Rfam family: Bacterial small subunit ribosomal RNA
Source: RNAcentral